RNAcentral lists this long non-coding RNA (205 nucleotides) under Elaeis guineensis (African oil palm). RNAcentral describes it as "long non-coding RNA (EGUI_LNC034196)". Lineage: Eukaryota; Viridiplantae; Streptophyta; Magnoliopsida; Arecales; Arecaceae. The record is from RNAcentral.
AAUUUAGCCUGCUGAUCAGUCUAAUUCCCAAUUGGCGAUGGGAUACACAAAAUGUUUGAGAUCCACAGCCAUAUGGAGAGCACAAGAUAAAAUUUCAGAGGAUAAAAGAAAGAGAUAUGGAGAAAGAGGACACCCUUGCCAUAGGCCCAUAAUUGCCUGUUGAAACCAUUUCAUGGCCACCCCAUUGAUGAACAAAACAAACCUU